UACGAAGGGGGCUAGCGUUGCUCGGAAUUACUGGGCGUAAAGGGAGCGUAGGCGGACAUUUAAGUCAGGGGUGAAAUCCCAGAGCUCAACUCUGGAACUGCCUUUGAUACUGGAUGUCUUGAGUAUGAGAGAGGUAUGUGGAACUCCGAGUGUAGAGGUGAAAUUCGUAGAUAUUCGGAAGAACACCAGUGGCGAAGGCGACAUACUGGCUCAUUACUGACGCUGAGGCUCGAAAGCGUGGGGAGCAAACAGG
Molecule: ribosomal RNA, 253 nt
Filed under: uncultured bacterium
Lineage: Bacteria
Description: partial 16S ribosomal RNA
Rfam family: Bacterial small subunit ribosomal RNA
Source: RNAcentral